AUUGAACGCUGGCGGCAGGCUUAACACAUGCAAGUCGAGCGAGAGGCGGACGGGUGAGUAAUGUCUGGGAAACUGCCUGAUGGAGGGGGAUAACUACUGGAAACGGUAGAUAAUACCGCAUACCAUCAGAUGUGCCCAGAUGGGAUUAGGUAGGUGGCGGGGUAAUGGCUUACCUAGGCGACGAUCCCUAGCUGGUAUGAGAGGAUGAACAGCAACACUGGAACUGAGACACGGUCCAGACGCCUACGGUAGGCAGCAGUAGGGAAUAUUGCGCAAUGGGCGCAAGCCUGAUGCAGCCAUGCCGCGUGUGUGAAGAAGGCCGUCGGGUUGUAAAGCACUUUCAGCGGGGAGGCGUUACUCGCAGAAGAAGCACCGGCUAACUCCGUGCCAGCAGCCGCGGUAAUUC
Molecule: ribosomal RNA, 406 nt
Filed under: uncultured bacterium
Lineage: Bacteria
Description: partial 16S ribosomal RNA
Rfam family: Bacterial small subunit ribosomal RNA
Source: RNAcentral